UACGGGGGGGGCACGCGUUGUUCGGAAUUACUGGGCGUAAAGGGCGCGUAGGCGGCCUGCUAAGUCGAACGUGAAAUCCCUGGGCUCAACCCAGGAACUGCGUCCGAUACUGGUUGGCUUGAAUCCGGGAGAGGGACGUGGAAUUCCAGGUGUAGCGGUGAAAUGCGUAGAUAUCUGGAGGAACACCGGUGGCGAAGGCGACGUCCUGGACCGGCAUUGACGCUGAGGCGCGAAAGCCAGGGGAGCAAACGGG
Molecule: ribosomal RNA, 253 nt
Filed under: uncultured bacterium
Lineage: Bacteria
Description: partial 16S ribosomal RNA
Rfam family: Bacterial small subunit ribosomal RNA
Source: RNAcentral